UUUAAACUUGAAAUAAGGCCAGCUUUGGCUAGAGACGACUUACCGCUACCUGAUGCACCAACGAUGGCCAGGAAGCGAUUGUCUGCCCGCAACUCGACCUUUGGACGUAACUCAUCCAGCAACCACUGCGUAAGCGCUUCGCGACCGAAAAAGAAAUGCGCAUGAUCGGCCUCGAAUGCCUGAAGUCCUCGAUAGGGGCAAGCACUUUCGUCGAUCACUUGGUUAGACGCUGGUCCGGGUUCGACACCGCGGAUCCCACACAGAAGGCGAUGGAACGCUUCGUCGUCGUCAAGUGUGUUACGGAAUUCGACCCACGUCGUAGCCACGAGAAAAGACGGUAGCUGACUACGGUCGGGUCGGUCGGUC
RNAcentral lists this unclassified non-coding RNA (366 nucleotides) under uncultured bacterium. RNAcentral's name for it is "contains 16S-23S intergenic spacer region". The record is from RNAcentral.